RNAcentral lists this ribosomal RNA (253 nucleotides) under uncultured bacterium. RNAcentral describes it as "partial 16S ribosomal RNA". It matches the Rfam family "Bacterial small subunit ribosomal RNA", at positions 524 to 776 of the family's 1533-position model. The record is from RNAcentral.
UACGGAGGGGGCAAGCGUUGUUCGGAAUUACUGGGCGUAAAGGGCGCGCAGGCGGCUGCUCAAGUCAGGCGUGAAAGCCCCGGGCUCAACCUGGGAACGGCGCGCGAGACGGGGGGGCUGGAGUUCGGGAGAGGAGCGUGGAAUUCCCAGUGUAGAGGUGAAAUUCGUAGAUAUUGGGAAGAACACCGGUGGCGAAGGCGGCGCUCUGGACCGAGACUGACGCUGAGGUGCGAAAGCGUGGGGAGCAAACAGG